Long non-coding RNA from Cervus elaphus (red deer), 275 nucleotides. RefSeq lists it as uncharacterized. Lineage: Eukaryota; Metazoa; Chordata; Mammalia; Artiodactyla; Cervidae. The transcript has 3 exons. The record is from RefSeq and is a predicted model, not a curated record.
CUCAGAUCCCAGCCCGACCUGGCAGGGUCCCCAGGAGGGUGUAUGCAAGCAGAGCUCCCUGAAACCCUGGUUCCAGGGUGUGUCUGCAGGGGUAGCAAGUGAUGAGACAGGUGAAUCAUUCACCUGCUUAAAAUGCAAAGAGUCCCAUUUUCUGGCUCAGCGUUUCCCACUGUGACUGAGGAGUAGUAAUUGUGUGCGGAUGCCAGAAUACAUUACAUGGACAAAAGGUAAACCUACUGUCUGCUGACUGAGCUCCUGGUCAUUCUUCAAGGCCA